Molecule: ribosomal RNA, 1432 nt
Filed under: uncultured organism
Description: 16S ribosomal RNA
Rfam family: Bacterial small subunit ribosomal RNA
Source: RNAcentral
GCUUAACACAUGCAAGUCGAACGGAAAGGCCCUGCUUUUGUGGGGUGCUCGAGUGGCGAACGGGUGAGUAACACGUGAGUAACCUGCCCUUGACUUUGGGAUAACUUCAGGAAACUGGGGCUAAUACCGGAUAGGAGCUCCUGCUGCAUGGUGGGGGUUGGAAAGUUUCGGCGGUUGGGGAUGGACUCGCGGCUUAUCAGCUUGUUGGUGGGGUAGUGGCUUACCAAGGCUUUGACGGGUAGCCGGCCUGAGAGGGUGACCGGCCACAUUGGGACUGAGGUACGGCCCAGACUCCUACGGGAGGCAGCAGUGGGGAAUAUUGCACAAUGGGCGGAAGCCUGAUGCAGCAACGCCGCGUGCGGGAUGACGGCCUUCGGGUUGUAAACCGCUUUCGCCUGUGACGAAGCGUGAGUGACGGUAAUGGGUAAAGAAGCACCGGCUAACUACGUGCCAGCAGCCGCGGUGAUACGUAGGGUGCGAGCGUUGUCCGGAUUUAUUGGGCGUAAAGGGCUCGUAGGUGGUUGAUCGCGUCGGAAGUGUAAUCUUGGGGCUUAACCCUGAGCGUGCUUUCGAUACGGGUUGACUUGAGGAAGGUAGGGGAGAAUGGAAUUCCUGGUGGAGCGGUGGAAUGCGCAGAUAUCAGGAGGAACACCAGUGGCGAAGGCGGUUCUCUGGGCCUUUCCUGACGCUGAGGAGCGAAAGCGUGGGGAGCGAACAGGCUUAGAUACCCUGGUAGUCCACGCUGUAAACGGUGGGUACUAGGUGUGGGGUCCAUUCCACGGGUUCCGUGCCGUAGCUAACGCUUUAAGUACCCCGCCUGGGGAGUACGGCCGCAAGGCUAAAACUCAAAGGAAUUGACGGGGCCCCGCACAAGCGGCGGAGCAUGCGGAUUAAUUCGAUGCAACGCGUAGAACCUUACCUGGGUUUGACAUGGAUCGGGAGUGCUCAGAGAUGGGUGUGCCUCUUUUGGGGUCGGUUCACAGGUGGUGCAUGGCUGUCGUCAGCUCGUGUCGUGAGAUGUUGGGUUAAGUCCCGCAACGAGCGCAACCCUUGUUCACUGUUGCCAGCACGUUAUGGUGGGGACUCAGUGGAGACCGCCGGGGUCAACUCGGAGGAAGGUGGGGAUGACGUCAAGUCAUCAUGCCCCUUAUGUCCAGGGCUUCACGCAUGCUACAAUGGCUGGUACAGAGAGUGGCGAGCCUGUGAGGGUGAGCGAAUCUCGGAAAGCCGGUCUCAGUUCGGAUUGGGGUCUGCAACUCGACCUCAUGAAGUCGGAGUCGCUAGUAAUCGCAGAUCAGCAACGCUGCGGUGAAUACGUUCCCGGGGCUUGUACACACCGCCCGUCAAGUCAUGAAAGUUGGUAACACCCGAAGCCGGUGGCCUAACCGUUGUGGGGGAGCCGUCGAAGGUGGGACUGGUGAUUAGGACUAAG